UACGGGGGGGGCAAGCGUUGUUCGGAAUUACUGGGCGUAAAGGGCUCGUAGGUGGCCAACUAAGUCAGACGUGAAAUCCCCAGGCUUAACCUGGGAACUGCGUCUGAUACUGGAUGGCUUGAAUUCGGGAGAGGGAUGCAGAAUUCCAGGUGUAGCGGUGAAAUGCGUAGAUAUCUGGAGGAAUACCGGUGGCGAAGGCGGCAUCCUGGACCACAACUGACGCUGAGGCGCGAAAGCUAGGGGAGCAAACAGG
This 253-nucleotide ribosomal RNA is filed under the name uncultured bacterium. RNAcentral describes it as "partial 16S ribosomal RNA". It matches the Rfam family "Bacterial small subunit ribosomal RNA", at positions 524 to 776 of the family's 1533-position model. The record is from RNAcentral.